GUCCACGCCGUAAACGAUGUCGACUAGCCGUUGGGAUCCUUGAGAUCUUAGUGGCGCAGCUAACGCAUUAAGUCGACCGCCUGGGGAGUACGGCCGCAAGGUUAAAACUCAAAUGAAUUGACGGGGCCCGCACAAGCGGUGGAGCAUGUGGUUUAAUUCGAAGCAACGCGAAGAACCUUACCAGGCCUUGACAUCCUAUGAACUUUCCAGAGAUGGAUUGGUGCCUUCGGGAGCAUAGAGACAGGUGCUGCAUGGCUGUCGU
This 262-nucleotide ribosomal RNA is filed under the name uncultured bacterium. Its description in RNAcentral is "partial 16S ribosomal RNA". It matches the Rfam family "Bacterial small subunit ribosomal RNA", at positions 793 to 1055 of the family's 1533-position model. The record is from RNAcentral.